GAGGGUAGGUCCCUCGCAAUCAACUUGCAGGAGUGGGUUGCAAACCCGUAUAUGCUGCUCUUUCUCCAUGGUCAGGGUAGUGAACGAUAUAUGAAAAGGCAAUGUAUAAAUUGUCAGG
This 118-nucleotide non-coding RNA is filed under the name Bacteroides acidifaciens. Lineage: Bacteria; Pseudomonadati; Bacteroidota; Bacteroidia; Bacteroidales; Bacteroidaceae. The record is from RNAcentral.